UGAGUGGAUGGGGAGAACCUAGUUGUGCGUGUGUAAAGGUAGUGCCAAGAAAAGCGAUGAUCAUGUUGAAAAUCAAUUCCCGGUACCCGAAACCGACACAGGUGGGCAAGUAGAGAAUACUAAGGGGCGCGAGGUAACUCUCUCCAAGGAACUCGGCAAAAUGACCCCGUAACUUAGGGAGAAGGGGUGCCACCGAGAGGUGGUCGCAGUGAAGAGGCCCAGGCGACCGUUUAGCAAAAACAUAGGUCUCUGCAAACUCGAAAGAGGAGGUAUAGGGGCUGACGCCUGCCCAGUGCCGGAAGGUUAAAGAAGUUGGUCAGUUUUAGGAUGAAGCUAGCGACUGAAGCCCCGGUGAACGGCGGCCGUAACUAUAACGGUCCUAAGGUAGCGAAAUUCCUUGUCGGGUAAGUUCCGACCCGCACGAAAGGCGUAACGAUCUGGGCGCUGUCUCGGAGAGAGGCUCGGCGAAAUAGGAUUGUCUGUGAAGAUACGGACUACCUGCAUUUGGACAGAAAGACCCUAUGAAGCUUUACUAUAGCUUGGAAUUGUGUUCGGGCUUCCUGUGCGCAGGAUAGGUGGGAGGCGUAGAAGGUAUUCUUGUGGGGAUACUGGAGCCAACGGUGAGAUACCACUCUCAGGAGGCUAGAAUUCUAACUUAAUUAAGGACAGUUUCAGGUGGGUAGUUUGACUGGGGCGGUCGCCUCCAAAAAGGUAACGGAGGCGUACAAAGGUUCCCUCAGACUGGUUGGAAAUCAGUCGAAGAGUGCAAAGGCAGAAGGGAGCUUGACUGCGAGAAGUACAGUUCGAGCAGGGUGGAAACACGGUCUUAGUGAUCCGACGGUGCUGUGUGGAAGGGCCGUCGCUCAACGGAUAAAAGUUACUCUAGGAUAGCAGGCUGAUCUCCCCCAAGAGUUCACAUCGACGGGGAGGUUUGGCACCUCGAUGUCGGCUCAUCGCAACCUGGGGCGGAAGUACGUCCCAAGGGUUGGGCUGUUCGCCCAUUAAAGCGGUACGUGAGCUGGGUUCAGAACGUCGUGAGACAGUUCGGUCCAUAUCCGAUGUAGGCGUGAGAAUAUUGAGAGGAGCCUUCCUUAGUACGAGAGGACCGGGAAGGACGCACCGCUGGUGUACCUGUUAUGAUGCCAAUUGUAAACGCAGGGUAGCCAAGUGCGGAGAGGAUAACCGCUGAAAGCAUCUAAGUGGGAAGCCCACCUCAAGAUGAGUAUUCUGGUGUAAGGUCACGGGAAGACGACCCGUAAAUAGGCACGAGGUGGAAGUGCAGAGAUGUAUGAAGCCGAAGUGUACUAAUAGACCGUCGGCUUGACC
Molecule: ribosomal RNA, 1326 nt
Filed under: metagenome
Description: bacterial LSU rRNA
Rfam family: Bacterial large subunit ribosomal RNA
Source: RNAcentral